This 513-nucleotide ribosomal RNA is filed under the name uncultured bacterium. Its description in RNAcentral is "partial 16S ribosomal RNA". It matches the Rfam family "Bacterial small subunit ribosomal RNA", at positions 28 to 523 of the family's 1533-position model. The record is from RNAcentral.
GAUGAACGCUGGCGGCGUGCCUAAUACAUGCAAGUCGAGCGAACAGACGAGGAGCUUGCUCCUCUGACGUUAGCGGCGGACGGGUGAGUAACACGUGGAUAACCUACCUAUAAGACUGGGAUAACUUCGGGAAACCGGAGCUAAUACCGGAUAAUAUAUUGAACCGCAUGGUUCAAUAGUGAAAGACGGUUUUGCUGUCACUUAUAGAUGGAUCCGCGCCGCGUUAGCUAGUUGGUAAGGUAACGGCUUACCAAGGCAACGAUGCGUAGCCGACCUGAGAGGGUGAUCGGCCACACUGAAACUGAGACACGGUCCAGACUCCUACGGGAGGCAGCAGUAGGGAAUCUUCCGCAAUGGGCGAAAGCCUGACGGAGCAACGCCGCGUGAGUGAUGAAGGUCUUCGGAUCGUAAAACUCUGUUAUUAGGGAAGAACAAAUGUGUAAGUAACUAUGCACGUCUUGACGGUACCUAAUCAGAAAGCCACGGCUAACUACGUGCCAGCCGCCGCAGUAA